This 383-nucleotide ribosomal RNA is filed under the name uncultured eukaryote. RNAcentral describes it as "partial 18S ribosomal RNA". It matches the Rfam family "Eukaryotic small subunit ribosomal RNA", at positions 592 to 976 of the family's 1831-position model. The record is from RNAcentral.
CAAUAGCGUAUAUUAAAGUUGUUGCAGUUAAAAAGCUCGUAGUUGGAUUUCUGGUGGGAGCGAUCGGUCUGGCGCUUAGCGCGAGUACUUGCAUCGUCUCCGGCCAUCCUUGGGGAGAGUCUGUCUGGCAUUAAGUUGUCGGGCAGAGGAUCCUCACCGUUUACUGUGAAAAAAUUAGAGUGUUCAAAGCAGGCUUAUGCCGUUGAAUAUAUUAGCAUGGAAUAAUAAGAUAGGACUUUGGUACUAUUUUGUUGGUUUGCGCACCAAAGUAAUGAUUAAUAGGGACAGUUGGGGGUAUUCGUAUUCCGUUGUCAGAGGUGAAAUUCUUGGAUUUACGGAAGACGAACUACUGCGAAAGCAUUUACCAAGGAUGUUUUCAUUAA